CUCUCCAACUUAAUUAGUUAUGAUAUUUAGAGGUUGCAAAUUCCUGGGACACCACCACAACUAAUGCUCCUACUUAAUUUUUUAACACUUUAUUUUUUGAUUCCCACGAACGUACCUAUAUUCAAAUCAUUUAAUUUAUCCAAUUUAUCAAAAAAAAAUCUACUUCCAUGGUACAGCAUUUAAAAUUAGGAAAGUACAGAUUGGG
Molecule: long non-coding RNA, 205 nt
Filed under: Elaeis guineensis (African oil palm)
Lineage: Eukaryota; Viridiplantae; Streptophyta; Magnoliopsida; Arecales; Arecaceae
Description: long non-coding RNA (EGUI_LNC033214)
Source: RNAcentral